CCUACGGGAGGCAGCAGUGGGGAAUAUUGGACAAUGGGGGCAACCCUGAUCCAGCCAUGCCGCGUGUGUGAAGAAGGCCUUCGGGUUGUAAAGCACUUUCAGUUGGGAAGAAAAGCCUGGGGUUAAUACCCCCGGGUCUUGACGGUACCUACAGAAGAAGCACCGGCUAAUUCCGUGCCAGCAGCCGCGGUAAU
This 194-nucleotide ribosomal RNA is filed under the name uncultured bacterium. RNAcentral describes it as "partial 16S ribosomal RNA". It matches the Rfam family "Bacterial small subunit ribosomal RNA", at positions 338 to 524 of the family's 1533-position model. The record is from RNAcentral.